UACGGGGGGGGCAAGCGUUGUUCGGAAUUACUGGGCGUAAAGGGCGCGUAGGCGGGUGGACAAGUCUCUCGUGAAAGCCCACGGCUCAACCGUGGAAUUGCGGGAGAUACUGUCUGUCUUGAGUCCGGGAGAGGAGGGUGGAAUUCCCAGUGUACCGGUGAAAUGCGUAGAUAUUGGGAGGAACACCGGUGGCGAAGGCGGCUCUCUGGACCGGUACUGACGCGGAGGCGCGAAAGGUAGGGUAGCAAAUGGG
Molecule: ribosomal RNA, 253 nt
Filed under: uncultured bacterium
Lineage: Bacteria
Description: partial 16S ribosomal RNA
Rfam family: Bacterial small subunit ribosomal RNA
Source: RNAcentral